Long non-coding RNA from Drosophila obscura, 1423 nucleotides. RefSeq lists it as uncharacterized. The transcript is spliced from 3 exons. The record is from RefSeq and is a predicted model, not a curated record. NCBI's taxonomy places the organism in Eukaryota, Metazoa, Arthropoda, Insecta, Diptera, Drosophilidae.
CAUGGUGCAAGCUGGAUGGGGGGUGCGGAAGAGCGUAAGCAAUGGCAAAGUGCAUGCAUGCACACGCCACUGCAACAGCGACAGAAACAACAACAACUGUUGUAAAGAAAAGUGCAAAGUAAAUGAAAAGAGAGACACACAAAUGGGAGAGGGACGAGGUAACGCCGACGCCACACGUGAAUAAUAAUUGAAAAAGAAGCGAGUGCAAGUGAAUAAGAUAGAUGCACAAUAGAACCGAUGCUGCAAUUAAAAGUUAUGAUUCAUUUAACCCGCACCCCUCUCGAUGCACAGCACUGCCAUCACUAAAUGGGAGAGCGGACUGGACUCGAUGACCAAUUUCAGAUUUUCAGCCUUAUUUGAACAGACAAGACCUCAUCCCCAUCACCAGACGUCAGAGCAGAGCGGCAACUUUGUCUAUGUCUCCAAUGCGAAUACGAAUACCAAUACCAGGAUGUGUGUACGUCUGUGUGUCCAUGCAUUUUGUUGCCAUAUUUAUGCGUUCGCAAUGCAGACGUUUUUAAUGUCUUCUCUUCCGAAACAACAAAAACCAAAAGAAAGAAUAACCGGGAUUCAGUAAAAACCAAAGGACUAGUGUUCCCAUAUAAUCUUGGUUCUAUUGCUGAUCAGAGAUUGCCAAACCUUUAGUCAAAAUCAUAGGACCUCUCUCGCAUAUCAGGGUAUAAGAAGAGCAGACUGGAGCCAGGGCUCCACUUCAUUAUCUGCGUCAUCGUGUGGCAGCCUCAAAUUGCAUCGAGUGCAAUGCCUGGGAGACUUCAUUGUUGCAUCUAUUGAUUAAGUUCUCCCCGCACUUCCCUCAGUGCUCCAUCUCUGCUGACCAAUUUUACAUAAGCUUCCAGAGAGUGACACCGGAAUGUGGGAGUAAGGUAAGGAGAGGGAUAACAUAACCCAAACCGCAAAAACAACUUAAGUGAAAAGGAAAUGAAAGCAGAGGCUGAUAUGGGGACGGACAGACGCUCAAGGUGCGAAAUGUGGGCGAAGGAGAAACGGAAUCUGUUAAGGAAGGAAGUGCAUUUCCGAAAUUGAUUCACCCUAAGCGGAUGAGAGGGCCAUAAGGGGGCGACACUUACCUGAUCAACGGCUUGGGUGGCGGCCACCAGGAGGCCCAUCAGCAGUGCGGAGAGCAUCAGACAUUUACCGUUGCAACGCAACGACAACGUCGCCGUCAGCGUGCUGGUCCUCUGCUUUGGCAUCAUUCUUCUCUCAGUGGAGUCGUGGGCGUCGGCGUCAACGUCGACGUCGCUUACUUUAGAUGAUGGGAGCAGCGGCUGGAAAGAUCUUCCAGUUUAUGUUUAUUGAUAUGUGGAGGGGCGGGCGGAACUAGACACACAAAUAAAUGCACUAUGAAUAUUUCUCCGAUUCACGAUCUUGUUACGAUCUUCAAUAAACUGGUUUUACACUGCAA